UCUGAGACUGACAGCUGUCUGUUUUGUGUAUGAAGAGCAUUUACAUACAGAGACACUUUGCAUGAGAGUGUUUAUAGAGCUGUGAGUUUAACACUUCAUGACUGAGAGCAGAACAGAACACAAUCUUCAUCAUCACACAAGACACAACAACAACAAUGAACAACAUCAUCAUCCUCAUCUGGACCAUUGCAGCUUUUAUUCAUGGAUCCAGUGGACUCACUGUGACUCAGCCUAAAAUUAAAACGGUCCAACAAAGUCAAAGAGUUACAAUAGAGUGCAGUACAGAUGUGGGGAUAUACUAUGACAACUUAGCCUGGUAUCAGCAGAAACCUGGAGAAACUCCUAAACUCCUCAUUUAUGAUAUGAGCAGCCUUUAUACAGGAACUCCAUCUAGAUUCAGUGGCAGUGGAUCUAGCGGAGGAAAAGAUUUCACUCUGACCAUCAGUGGAGUCCAGACUGAAGAUACAGGAGAUUAUUAC
Non-coding RNA from Carassius auratus (goldfish), 479 nucleotides. Lineage: Eukaryota; Metazoa; Chordata; Actinopteri; Cypriniformes; Cyprinidae. The record is from the annotation of a RefSeq genome assembly.